This 24-nucleotide small nuclear RNA is filed under the name Arabidopsis thaliana (thale cress). RNAcentral describes it as "snRNA_19004". Lineage: Eukaryota; Viridiplantae; Streptophyta; Magnoliopsida; Brassicales; Brassicaceae. The record is from RNAcentral.
UUCAUUGGCCAUGAAAACAUUGUU